AUCUGAUAUCAUCCCUUCUGCAGUUCAUGAGUUAAUCACUUAUUUUACCCAAAAAUACAAAAUUUCUGAGCGAGAUCUAUUUUUUCCUAUUGAUCUCUUAUUUUUCACAAAAUACAGACUCCCUUGGAUAAUGAAAUGGAAUUAUACUGUUAAUUGGGAGACUCGUUUCUUCUCCCGUCAGUUCUUUGUUAAAUGGUGGGAUCGUUUCGAAGUCCAUCGUAUUACAGAUUAUGUUUAUAAAGACUUUCCCCAAGUUCCUAAUCGUACCCCUGAGCCCAAGCAUGAGCCCUCUUCCUCUUCGGAUACUAUCCUUACAGUUGAAGGUAAAUCUAAGACUGAGUUACAGGACUUAGCCCAGCAGCUCCUUCUUCGAGCCUCUCAAAUGCAUGAUGAUGAUGCUGAGUCUGAAACUUCUUCUAGUUGUCAACCUGCACAGCCAACUCCUGAGCGUCCUGCGCGAUGGGCUGAUUUUCUGCAUGGUCAAGAUCCUAAUGAUGCUUAUGAUGAAGCCUAUAAAGCUUAUGAUUUGAAUUCUGAUUAGACUACUGCAGACAAGUUACCUGAGUUAAAGCAAGUCACCUGAGUUAAAGCAAGUUACCUAAGUUAAAGCAAGCUACCUGAGUUAAAUUUAUUUACUUGAGUUACUGUUGUAAACCUG
This 658-nucleotide long non-coding RNA is filed under the name Prunus dulcis (almond). RNAcentral describes it as "sRNA ncRNA". The record is from RNAcentral. Lineage: Eukaryota; Viridiplantae; Streptophyta; Magnoliopsida; Rosales; Rosaceae.